GGCCAUUUAGCUACAUUCACUUCACGCCACUCACGGCUAAAGAAGUAAGGACCAAAGCGUAGAUCAUCGAGAUUUGUGCUCUCGUCACGCUUUUAAUUUGAACAUUCACGAUCUAACCGGUCAAAAACGAUUUUUUCACAUUCCUCGAUUCUUCCCUUUCUCUUUCUUUCACUAUUCCCACCUAGGUCCCCGGCUUUGGUUGCUUUACGGAUGUAUUUGCUUUCCCUAGCGUAGCGGAUGGAGACUCACCUAUCCUUCUUUUCUUAGUUUAGUAGAGCGUCUUGUCCCCUCUCCUAGCUCAAUUAUAGACUCUACUUGUUUGAUUUGAAAGCUAACCAACCUAUAUUUUAUGUUUAUGGCCCUUAUACCCUUCUAAAUUCUAAAAAUUAGAAAACGAUAUAUAAAUAAAAUAUAUGUUUAGCCUAUUAUCACUUUACUGCAAUUCAUUAAUAGGGUUUACUAAUACAAUUUUAUCCUACUUUCUAACUUUAAUACUGACAAUAAGAAAAUUUAAGCGUCUUUACUUUCUUUUUCUUGUUGGCUUGUCCGAUAAUGAACUUUCAUCCCUUCGUUAACCAUAGAAAUUGUUUACUCGAGUGGAUAGCUUGGCUGUGAUGCACCUUCUCUAUUAGAGUUGGGCUAUCCAGUCACCCGAUGCUCCAAUCGAUCUAGAUCUAGGGAAGGCGAUGAUGAU
This 694-nucleotide unclassified non-coding RNA is filed under the name Hevea brasiliensis (rubber tree). The record is from RNAcentral. Lineage: Eukaryota; Viridiplantae; Streptophyta; Magnoliopsida; Malpighiales; Euphorbiaceae.